UUCAAUGGUCGGGCCUUGGUGGGGGUGCGUUCGCGCACGCCGGUUUCCUUGGACGCCGGUUCGCCAACCCUGUCAUGUGCCCGGCCACCCCA
Molecule: non-coding RNA, 92 nt
Organism: Burkholderia pseudomallei K96243
Lineage: Bacteria; Pseudomonadati; Pseudomonadota; Betaproteobacteria; Burkholderiales; Burkholderiaceae
Source: Rfam